Molecule: long non-coding RNA, 3326 nt
Filed under: Marmota monax (woodchuck)
Lineage: Eukaryota; Metazoa; Chordata; Mammalia; Rodentia; Sciuridae
Source: RNAcentral
GCUCCUUUUCUCACUGGGAGAAAAAGCACAUGGGAAACUGGGACCGGGAAUGAAGUUAGCGACACCUCUGCCUGAGGUCCAGGCGCUUCUGCUCUCAAGUGCUCUUGACAGCGGACUCUAGGGGAAAUGGGCGGAGUGAAUGUGGGUGACCUUUCCUUCUACUCCAGCGCCUUUUGCUGCGCUCUCAAUGUCCCUCCUUCCUGUCGGGUGGUCCCCUUUCCCUCUCCUCAACCAUGACCUCUUCCUUCUUAUUCAAGACAUCUUUGUUGUGUCUUCCGUUCCUCCCCCACCUUCCUCGCAGCCCCUUUCAUUCAAUUUAUACUAAUUCUCCCCCCUCCUUUUUUUUUCCUUCUUCUUUCUUUCUGGUGUUUUCUCCCUUGUUCCUAACGUCGCCGCCUGUGAGCAGUCAGAUUGUCUCAUUAAAAUCGAGCACCAUACCUUCAAUCCCACCAGUGACUGCCUGUCACUCUCCGAGUCCCCCUUCGCCUUGAAAACUAAUACUACCCUUGUUCUCCAGUGCUCAGGCUACUCAGGAAUUCAGGUAAGCGUUAGGCAUGGGGCACUAGCCUUUUUAAUACCUGGGGACUAACUUUACUUCAACCGGGGCGUUAGUGAUUUUCAUUCAGGUUUUAUCUUUUGAAGCGCGAAGAAGUCAGGUAAAAGUUGUGGGUUGUCAAUUAAUCUCACACUGACUGACUGGGUUGAAUUAUGGUUCUAAGCUGUUCCUGGGUGGUUUCAAGGUGUGAUCAGUGAGCCUCCUACAUUAGAAUGUCCUGGCUGCUGUUCAAAAUGUCAAUUCUCAGCGACACAAUCCAUACCUUUAAAAAUCAAAAUUUCAGCCUUAUACCAGGCUCCUUAAGGAGAUUCUUGUCCAUUUCAAAGUUUAGCAACCCUGCUUGGGUUUAUAACUUAGCAAUUGUAUGCUUCUUUCUUAAAAUGUUGCAUUAUAUAUUAAAUCUCUACCCUAUGUUUUGCUUGAUUGCUUGCUUGAGUGGGACUGCAGUCUCUUUAACAUAAUAAAUUUUUGCAAUACAGUCACAUGCAUUUGAAUGAAUGUGUAAUUUUAAAGAUGGAGACAUUAUAGUGGAGAGUUAGGAGUAGGAACUCUGGAGUCAGCCUGCCUGACUUUGAAUCCUAGCCCUUUAACUUAGCUUUUAACUGUGAAGAUCUGGACAAGUUUUUAGCAUCUAUGUGCCUCAGCAAAAUAAGUAAUCUGUUCUUAAGUCCUACAUAGGCUGUCUGUAAGAACUAAAUGAGUCACCAUAUAUAAAAGCACUUGGAAAGAUGCCUGGUACGUAACAGGUACUCAACUCAAAAAAUAUUUCAGUUGGUGAAUAAAGUAGAAAAUUUAUGUUCUUGAGAUAAUUUUAAGAAAGACAAAGAUAGACAAUGUAGAUAUGUAUGAUUGAUGUUGAUUAACCCAGUAGACUUAACAAAUCUGCAAUCCAAAUGUCUAAGUAGCCAAGACUGUCAUUUUUUACGUCUCAAGGAUUGAAUCAUAGGUUUCAACCAAGCUAGGAGUUGAAACCACCUGUAUUGAGCUUAAGUGAAAAACUCAAGACCAAGCAGUCAUAUGAGAAAUCUGUUUGCCUCUAUGUCUUCCUUCAAAGGGAACUCUGGCAAGGCUACAAGUCUACAGAUGGUCACAAUAAAAUUCACUCAUAUAAGAAGAGCACAAAGGACAGACUUGAUCAAGUUCUUGAGCAGAAUUUUUUUGAUAAAGGGAGAGUCUGGAGAAAAUUAUUUCACCCCCACCCUAGCUCAAACAGAAAGUCUGAGACCAAUAAUAAUUAAUUAGGAUUUAGCAGAAUUAGACUGUAAGAUUCUUGCUUGGUAACCCAGGAUUCUCUAUCAAUCUGUGUGUGCCUAGGAAGGAGGCUCAGCCUGUCAUUACUCAAGGGUUAAGAAAUGCACCAAAAUCUUGUGCAGAAUAAGUCUUCAGGGUGUCUGUGGCACAUGUAAGGAGUGGUAGGGAUGGGGAGCAGGAAUAAUUUGGUUUCAAAUAAUAGACUAGUUUUUACUGAAUUCUAGUAAGAUACAGAAGAUAAGUCCUAUCCUUUGAGGAUUUGUGCUCUUGUCAGAGAGAUCAUGACAUCAUCAAUUUAUUUAUUCACUUAAUCAUGCAAAAAGUAUCCAGUGUUUCCUAUGUAUAAGUCACUGUACUCAGUGCUGUGGGGAAAUACCAAUGAUGCAACCAUAAGAAGAGUAGGUGAAAGCCAAGUGAAAUGACACAUACUCUUAAGUAUUAGAAGUUUCAAAAAGAAAGAUCUGAGCAAUUUGCAGAGGUUUUGUGGAGGAGGUGCUGCUUGGCCUUUUAGCAAGAUUAUGUGGGUGGAGAGAGAGAGGAGGGCUUUCCUCUGCAAAAAGCGCUCACACUUAAGCAGUUGAGAGGUGGAUUUUCUGGGAGAAGAUGACAUAAUCUGCCACUCAAAAGUUGUUAAAGAUAGUGAAAAUUAAUUUUUUUUUACUAUUGAUUCUCCUAUUCAACAGAAAAACAAUACCCAGGAAAUGAAACAAGAAGGAGUCAACAGUAACUGCCUCAACCAAACCUCACAAAUACUGGGAUGGUGGCGUCGUUUCUCUCGACUUUUAGGAAAAUAAAACUAUUUUAAUUCCUGUCAUAUUUUAUAGCACCAAAAGAAAUAAUUUUUAUUAAAUAUAUAAAAUGUUAACUCUGUGACAUUUAAAAGAGCACUAAUAGUUAUUCUUUAACUACAGAAAGGUUUCUUAACUUAUUUUGGGGUCAGUCUGUAUUGUUUAAUGUGGGUUAUUUAAUGUGGGAAGUAUUGAUCCUCUAAUGUCAGGGGACACUUCUGUAACAUUGGUGACUGGCUUCAUGGCACUAAUUCUCAUCUGAAACUUUACAAGCCCUACUCUAGGGAGAAAACAAAUAAGUAUAGUAGAAAGAAAUUUAAAAAAGAAAAGUGUUGGAUUCAAUGACAGCAUCUAACCCUCUGUUUUAAAAACAGGCAUUUAUUUUACAUGUUAUGAUUCUUUUCCUGUUCUCAUACUAAAACUCUAUAGAAGAAGAAAAGCAAAGCAAAUGAGAAUGUACAAAUCAUGGAAAGUAUAACGAAGCAAUUUGAAAGAAGUUUCAAGCAAAGUGUUAUAAAAGUAUUCUAAGCCAAGUUUUAAAAAUUAUAGACCAGAGUAGGAUAUGCAAGUAGAUUCUGAAGAAGUACCUUUGUUACAGCUAUUAUAUAUAUAAUAAAUCUUAAAUUUUAUAUAAUGCAUUUUUAAUUUAUUUUGUGAGCACUUUUGAAAAUGUACAUGUUGCUUUAUAACUGACAUUACAUAUUUCUUAAUAAAAUAAUUUUCAAAUUAGU